UACGGGGGGGGCAAGCGUUGUUCGGAAUUACUGGGCGUAAAGGGCUCGUAGGCGGCCAACUAAGUCGGAUGUGAAAUCCCCAAGCUUAACUUGGGAACUGCAUCCGAUACUGGAUGGCUUGAAUCCGGGAGAGGGAUGCAGAAUUCCAGGUGUAGCGGUGAAAUGCGUAGAUAUCUGGAGGAACACCGGUGGCGAAGGCGGCAUCCUGGACCGGUAUUGACGCUGAGGCGCGAAAGCCAGGGGGGAGCAAACGGG
RNAcentral lists this ribosomal RNA (255 nucleotides) under uncultured bacterium. RNAcentral's name for it is "partial 16S ribosomal RNA". It matches the Rfam family "Bacterial small subunit ribosomal RNA", at positions 524 to 776 of the family's 1533-position model. The record is from RNAcentral.